CUCUCUCUUCAUUUCUCUCUAUAAUCUUCAGCCUCAUAUGUCAUCCCUCCCCUCUAAUCUUCUCGGCCUGCAACCUAAAACCAAAACAACCCACACCCCCAUUUCUGCAAAUCUCGACCUCUCGCUUCAUCGAACAUGUCUUGAAACAUAGAGAAAGUACUCUUUGUACCUGCGGUUCUGAAAUCCAAAACCCAGCUUAACCAUCACCGAUGCAAGCCCACAAUAUCGUCUGCACCGCAUUUGAGCAGAAAUAUGCUCAGAGAUCAGAGAGUCAAGCAACCCACAAACUGAUCUAAACCGAUACAUAUGCACAAAGGUAAACAACCUCAUUUUCUUAGACAUCUCCGUUUCUAGUUUCGUUUUUUAUUAGAAAAUAGACGAAACCCUCGUGCAUGUGUGCUUUCAAUGCAGGUUCAACAAUCAGCAGAAUGGUCAAGAACACGAAUAAAGUGACUGCAGAAUUUCAAAUCCGCCUAAUACAAGCGGAAAAAUCGAGGUUCUAGAUCUGCAAGAAAAGGUAUAAGGCCUCUUUCCCCAAACUCGAGCUCAAUCUUGUGCAUUCCAUAUCUCGAGAUGAAUCAUCUGGGUUUUGUUCUAAUAAUCUUACAAAUUUGUUGAGCAAUUUUUGUAAAGUCGGAAUCUUUAGUUUCAGUUGUAAGGUAUCUGAUUUGGGAAUUUGUGUUUUGCAGGGCAAUUUCUUACAAAUAUGUUGAGCAGGUUCUAGAUCCGCUGUUGUUGCUGUUACGAGACUUGUGAGUGCUGCUGAUUUGGGAAUUUCGGUUCUAAUAAUCUUACAAAUUUGUUGAGCAACUUAUGUCUUUCUCUCUCUAUCUAUGAAUUGAAUGCGAAACUCUGUGUUGAUAUGGAAAAUGAAGCUCGAAAUUAUUACACAAAUGGCGGAAAAAAAAAGUUCGAGUGUGAAGUUUCACUUACUGGUAGAUGGCUUUCGAAACAGGGUUGUCCAGACUGCAGAAGAAAUCCAUGGCUUUUGGA
Molecule: long non-coding RNA, 993 nt
Filed under: Malus domestica (apple)
Lineage: Eukaryota; Viridiplantae; Streptophyta; Magnoliopsida; Rosales; Rosaceae
Description: long non-coding RNA (MDOM_LNC010170)
Source: RNAcentral